ACGAUGCCAGCCAGAAAACCUGAUUAAAAGCCACAAACAUGCUCUGCAAAACUGUCCACGGUCCUGCUUAGACAACGUAUUCAGAGAGACAGACAAAGAGCGUGCGUUAGUUUUCACGGACAGAUUUUGCUUUUAUACGAGUGUCACACUACAUCAGAAGUAGCCACGUAGCAAUUUUCAAAAGACAUGGAUGGAUACAGUCCCGGCGCCAUACGGGCAAAAAUCAGCUUCAUCGAUAACACCACCAAAGCACCAGAAGAGAGCGGGCAGGCAUCUUGUUCUUGGGUCCCAAAAAUGCUUGCUGCCCAACCUAGCUUACUGUUGUGCGCACUGCACUCUUUGGGCACCGCCUCCGGGCAUCUCGUCGUCCUCAUCGUACGCCUCCUGAGCAGCAGCAUGGGCUUUCCGACGCAUCUCCUCCUCCAUGUUGACAUCAUGCAUCGUCGUCUCCUCGCAUUCGUCGAGCUCCAUGUCGGUCAGCUUGGAUGCAGGCUUUGGUGGAAGCACAGCCUCGAGAGCCUUGCACUGAUCCGGUGCCAGCGAGUCGGGGAAC
This 553-nucleotide long non-coding RNA is filed under the name Triticum aestivum (bread wheat). RNAcentral describes it as "long non-coding RNA (TAES_LNC007828)". Lineage: Eukaryota; Viridiplantae; Streptophyta; Magnoliopsida; Poales; Poaceae. The record is from RNAcentral.